This 305-nucleotide ribosomal RNA is filed under the name uncultured bacterium. Its description in RNAcentral is "bacterial SSU rRNA". It matches the Rfam family "Bacterial small subunit ribosomal RNA", at positions 333 to 635 of the family's 1533-position model. The record is from RNAcentral.
UCCAUCCUACGGGGGGCAGCAGUGAGGAAUAUUGGUCAAUGGGCGCGAGCCUGAACCAGCCAAGUCGCGUGAGGGAUGACGGCCCUACGGGUUGUAAACCUCUUUUGUCGGGGAGCAAAUUCCGCCACGUGUGGCGGAGUCGAGAGUACCCGAAGAAAAAGCAUCGGCUAACUCCGUGCCAGCAGCCGCGGUAAUACGGAGGAUGCGAGCGUUAUCCGGAUUUAUUGGGUUUAAAGGGUGCGCAGGCGGAAGAUCAAGUCAGCGGUAAAAUUGAGAGGCUCAACCUCUUCGAGCCGUUGAAACUG